GCGUCUCUCCGCGAACGGUUGAAACAUGAAGUGAAUUUAUACGAGAAAAUCCGAUCAUAGGUAUAAGCCUAGAUUGGUGGUAACAGGAUUUCAACAAAAGAACGUAAUCGAUGACAUAUACUCUCCAGUAGCGAGUAAUCAAACUUUAAAAAUUUUGUUAGCAUAUUGUUGUCAAAAUGGACUGACUAAUCGUUGAACAAAUGGAUGUAGAAAGUGCAUUUUUAAAUGGUGAAGUAAGCUCCGGAGAUAUAUGUAAAUCAACCAAAUGGAUACGUAAACAGGACGAAUAGAGUAUACCAGCUAUACAUUUUUCCCACCUGUCUGGCAAUUGGUGAAUGCCACGCCAAAAAAACUGCCGCUCUUUUGAGGCAAACCAGUCAUCGAGCCAUUUUCGUACAUUUUCGUAAGAAGAGAAGUGCUGGUCAGAAAGUGCGUGUCCCAUCGAUGCAAAUAAAUAGUAAUCGGACGGAGCCAAGUCUGGAGAAUACGACUACCGACUAUGCGAUAACACAGGCAAAUUCUAAGCGCCUUAUCAUGAGUGACCACUGAGGUAGUGUCCGGUUUCUCUGCCCGUUCCCAUGGACAUAUGACAAGUACAACCAAGGUCUUUUCCCACUCCCACGAAUAAAAGAAUAUAAAUACUACCCCCAAAAUCGUCCAAGUCAGUCUUAAUCAGUCCGAGCCAGCACGAAUUACUGUACAAAUUAAGUAAAAAUAAAAGAACGUGACAUUUUAAUUUUUACGUGUCACAUUCAUGGACAGAGAGAGAAUGUUGUUUGUUUAUUAAUAUACGUGGGUGAUUUGUUGAUCUGGAGUAAGAAUAAAAGGAAAAUGCAGAGUGUAAAGAAAUUAUUGACCGACAAAUUUGAAAUGGAAAAUUUUGAUGAGAUAAACGAAUAUCUCGGAAUCAAUAUAGAAUAAGAUUAUAUCAAAAAUGAAGUGAAACUGAGUUAAAUGAAAUACAUUGAGUCACUAGUAAGUAAAUACAAAAUAAAUUACAAGACAGCAAACUGUACGGUACACCUAUGGAAACUAACUUAAAAAUUGAAAAGGCUGAG
This 1058-nucleotide unclassified non-coding RNA is filed under the name Bombus terrestris (buff-tailed bumblebee). RNAcentral's name for it is "misc RNA ENSBTSG00005027732.1". The record is from RNAcentral. Lineage: Eukaryota; Metazoa; Arthropoda; Insecta; Hymenoptera; Apidae.